Molecule: transfer RNA, 72 nt
Filed under: Prevotellaceae bacterium
Lineage: Bacteria; Pseudomonadati; Bacteroidota; Bacteroidia; Bacteroidales; Prevotellaceae
Description: tRNA-Arg
Rfam family: tRNA
About the family: Transfer RNA (tRNA) molecules are approximately 80 nucleotides in length. Their secondary structure includes four short double-helical elements and three loops (D, anti-codon, and T loops).
Source: RNAcentral
GGUCUCGUAGUUCAAUGGACAGAAUGGAAGAUUCCGGUUCUUUUGAUGUGGGUUCGAUUCCCGCCGGGACUA